Pelodiscus sinensis (Chinese soft-shelled turtle) is the source of this 443-nucleotide non-coding RNA. The record is from RefSeq and is a predicted model, not a curated record. Lineage: Eukaryota; Metazoa; Chordata; Testudines; Trionychidae.
UUUUAACUAUGAAGAUGUCUCUUCCCUAGGAGAAGACACAUGACUUUUGGCGGGGGUGGGUUUUUUUGGUUGGCUUUGUGCCACAUAAAUAUGUUUUCGAUGAGACGAGGGCAGCGGUUCUCAAAGUGCAGUGCCAGUGGUCCAUGGCUGCCUCCCAGGUGGUCUGCGGCGGGAGCUCCUUCUCCCCCACUUCCCCGGGCGGCAGGCUGGGCUGUGCCGUGCUGGCAGCGGUGAGAGAAGGCGACACUGGACCCUGCACAUGCAGGAGGCAGCUGGGGGCUCGGGGCCCUUCAGGGCUUUGCACCCAUGAGGACUUGGUCUGAGGGGACGGGCCAAGCCAGAGGGUGCCAUAGACAGAACCCCACCCACCUACUCAGUCUCCCCCUUGCUGCACCGCACUCAGUCUCCCUGCCCUCUGCCCCACCAUUUCCUUGAAACCCCCC